Molecule: ribosomal RNA, 1001 nt
Filed under: Staphylococcus aureus
Lineage: Bacteria; Bacillati; Bacillota; Bacilli; Caryophanales; Staphylococcaceae
Description: partial 23S ribosomal RNA
Rfam family: Bacterial large subunit ribosomal RNA
Source: RNAcentral
ACGGGAAGAGCCCAAACCAACAAGCUUGCUUGUUGGGGUUGUAGGACACUCUAUACGGAGUUACAAAGGACGACAUUAGACGAAUCAUCUGGAAAGAUGAAUCAAAGAAGGUAAUAAUCCUGUAGUCGAAAAUGUUGUCUCUCUUGAGUGGAUCCUGAGUACGACGGAGCACGUGAAAUUCCGUCGGAAUCUGGGAGGACCAUCUCCUAAGGCUAAAUACUCUCUAGUGACCGAUAGUGAACCAGUACCGUGAGGGAAAGGUGAAAAGCACCCCGGAAGGGGAGUGAAAUAGAACCUGAAACCGUGUGCUUACAAGUAGUCAGAGCCCGUUAAUGGGUGAUGGCGUGCCUUUUGUAGAAUGAACCGGCGAGUUACGAUUUGAUGCAAGGUUAAGCAGUAAAUGUGGAGCCGUAGCGAAAGCGAGUCUGAAUAGGGCGUUUAGUAUUUGGUCGUAGACCCGAAACCAGGUGAUCUACCCUUGGUCAGGUUGAAGUUCAGGUAACACUGAAUGGAGGACCGAACCGACUUACGUUGAAAAGUGAGCGGAUGAACUGAGGGUAGCGGAGAAAUUCCAAUCGAACCUGGAGAUAGCUGGUUCUCUCCGAAAUAGCUUUAGGGCUAGCCUCAAGUGAUGAUUAUUGGAGGUAGAGCACUGUUUGGACGAGGGGCCCCUCUCGGGUUACCGAAUUCAGACAAACUCCGAAUGCCAAUUAAUUUAACUUGGGAGUCAGAACAUGGGUGAUAAGGUCCGUGUUCGAAAGGGAAACAGCCCAGACCACCAGCUAAGGUCCCAAAAUAUAUGUUAAGUGGAAAAGGAUGUGGCGUUGCCCAGACAACUAGGAUGUUGGCUUAGAAGCAGCCAUCAUUUAAAGAGUGCGUAAUAGCUCACUAGUCGAGUGACACUGCGCCGAAAAUGUACCGGGGCUAAACAUAUUACCGAAGCUGUGGAUUGUCCUUUGGACAAUGGUAGGAGAGCGUUCUAAGGGCGUUGAAGCAUGAUC